AAUGAACGCUGGCGGCAUGCCUUACACAUGCAAGUCGAACGGCAGCAUGACCUAGCUUGCUAGGUUGAUGGCGAGUGGCGAACGGGUGAGUAAUGCAUCGGAACGUGCCUUUUAGUGGGGGAUAACGUAGCGAAAGUUACGCUAAUACCGCAUAUUCUCUGAGGAGGAAAGCAGGGGACCUUCGGGCCUUGCGCUAGAAGAGCGGCCGAUGUCGGAUUAGCUAGUUGGUGAGGUAAAGGCUCACCAAGGCAACGAUCCGUAGCGGGUCUGAGAGGAUGAUCCGCCACACGGGAACUGGGACACGGCCCAGACUCCUACGGGAGGCAGCAGUGGGGAAUUUUGGACAAUGGGCGCAAGCCGGAUCCAGCCAUGCCGCGUGAGUGAAGAAGGCCUUCGGGUUGUAAAGCUCUUUCGGCUGGGAAGAAAUCGCACCCUCUAAUACAGGGUGUGGAUGACGGUACCAGCAUAAGAAGCACCGGCUAACUACGUG
Molecule: ribosomal RNA, 490 nt
Filed under: uncultured bacterium
Lineage: Bacteria
Description: partial 16S ribosomal RNA
Rfam family: Bacterial small subunit ribosomal RNA
Source: RNAcentral